RNAcentral lists this ribosomal RNA (500 nucleotides) under Alteromonas sp. ZXM239. RNAcentral describes it as "bacterial SSU rRNA". It matches the Rfam family "Bacterial small subunit ribosomal RNA", at positions 73 to 563 of the family's 1533-position model. The record is from RNAcentral. Lineage: Bacteria; Pseudomonadati; Pseudomonadota; Gammaproteobacteria; Alteromonadales; Alteromonadaceae.
GAAGUGCUUGCACUUCGCUGACGAGUGGCGGACGGGUGAGUAAUGCUUGGGAACUUGCCUUUGCGAGGGGGAUAACAGUUGGAAACGACUGCUAAUACCGCAUAAUGUGCGCUUGUAAAAGUGUACCAAACGGGGCUUAGGCUCCGGCGCAAAGAGAGGCCCAAGUGAGAUUAGCUAGUUGGUGGGGUAAAGGCUCACCAAGGCAACGAUCUCUAGCUGUUCUGAGAGGAAGAUCAGCCACACUGGGACUGAGACACGGCCCAGACUCCUACGGGAGGCAGCAGUGGGGAAUAUUGCACAAUGGGGGAAACCCUGAUGCAGCCAUGCCGCGUGUGUGAAGAAGGCCUUCGGGUUGUAAAGCACUUUCAGUUGUGAGGAAAAGUGAGUAGUUAAUACCUGCUCACCGUGACGUUAACAACAGAAGAAGCACCGGCUAACUCCGUGCCAGCAGCCGCGGUAAUACGGAGGGUGCGAGCGUUAAUCGGAAUUACUGGGCGUAA